This 510-nucleotide ribosomal RNA is filed under the name uncultured bacterium. RNAcentral describes it as "bacterial SSU rRNA". It matches the Rfam family "Bacterial small subunit ribosomal RNA", at positions 36 to 518 of the family's 1533-position model. The record is from RNAcentral.
CUGGCGGCGUGCCUAAUACAUGCAAGUCGAACGGUCUUUCUAUGGAAGCUUGCUUCCACUGAGAAGGUAGUGGCGAACGGGUGAGUAACACGUGGGUAACCUGCCCAUAAGAGGGGGGAUAACAUCCGGAAACGGGUGCUAAUACCGCAUAGUUUUCUUGAUCGCAUGAUCGGGAAAGGAAAGACGGCCUUUGUGCUGUCGCUUAUGGAUGGACCCGCGGCGUAUUAGUUAGUUGGUGAGGUAACGGCUCACCAAGACGAUGAUACGUAGCCGACCUGAGAGGGUGAUCGGCCACAUUGGGACUGAGACACGGCCCAAACUCCUACGGGAGGCAGCAGUAGGGAAUCUUCCGCAAUGGACGAAAGUCUGACGGAGCAACGCCGCGUGAGUGAAAGAAGGUUUUCGGAUCGUAAAACUCUGUUGUCAGAGAAGAACAAGUUGGAGAGUAACUGCUCCAGCCUUGACGGUAUCUGACCAGAAAGCCACGGCUAACUACGUGCCAGCCGCCGC